This 322-nucleotide small RNA is filed under the name Vigna angularis var. angularis. RNAcentral describes it as "Non-protein coding transcript". The record is from RNAcentral. Lineage: Eukaryota; Viridiplantae; Streptophyta; Magnoliopsida; Fabales; Fabaceae.
UAUGCAUUUCAUGUUCUAAUCUAUAUUGUUAUUCUUUUUAUGAUUAACUAUGAAGUUGUAAAUCAUUUACCCUGCGAUAUCAGCCAUUAUGUUUUCAGCUUAAUAAAUGAAUAUGGUCUAAAGCAACAAUUAUUAUGUUAUGCAGCAAGUGGGAGCAAUGAUUCUUGUCGGUCACAGCAUGGGAGGAUCAAUUGUUGUGCAUGUAGCUGCAAGAAGUUCAUUGUCCACCUUGGUUGGGUUGUCGUGGAUGUUGUAGAGGUUGUAAUGUGUAGUUAUUAUUACUUUCGUGAUUACUUUUUUCGUCAUUGGAACAAAAGUGCUG